Molecule: ribosomal RNA, 467 nt
Filed under: uncultured bacterium
Lineage: Bacteria
Description: partial 16S ribosomal RNA
Rfam family: Bacterial small subunit ribosomal RNA
Source: RNAcentral
GAUGAACGCUGGCGGCGUGCUUAACACAUGCAAGUCGAACGGAAAGGCCCAAGCUUGCUUGGGUACUCGAGUGGCGAACGGGUGAGUAACACGUGGGUGAUCUGCCCCGCACUUCGGGAUAAGCCUGGGAAACUGGGUCUAAUACCUGAUAGGACAGUGGUUUGGAUGCCAUUGUGGAAAGUUUUUUCGGUGUGGGAUGAGCUCGCGGCCUAUCCGCUUGUUGGUGGGGUAAUGGCCUACCAAGGCGUCGACGGGUAGCCGGCCUGAGAGGGUGUACGGCCACAUUGGGACUGAGAGACGGCACAGACUGCUAAGGGAGGCAGAAGGGGGGAAGAUUGCACAAUGGGCGCAAGCCUGAUGAAGCGACGCCGCGGGGGGGAUGACGGCCUUCGGGUUGAAAACUCCUUUCGAGAGGGACGAAGCGUUAUGUGACGGUACCUAGAGAAGAAGCACCGGCUAACUACGUG